RNAcentral lists this long non-coding RNA (258 nucleotides) under Homo sapiens (human). RNAcentral's name for it is "HSALNT0016835". Lineage: Eukaryota; Metazoa; Chordata; Mammalia; Primates; Hominidae. The record is from RNAcentral.
CAAGCUUUUAUUACAGGAGUUGAGAAGCCUCCUCUGUAACCAAGGAGACAAGAAUGUUUCAAAAGCACAUAUGAAGGUUUGAUGCCUGAGAAACUACUAGUGGACAAGUCUAUGACAAUCAACAAAGAAGCACUGAAUUUCGGGAUGCAACAGCACACCCCUGUACUGCAGGCAUUACGCUCCUGGGGAGCUAUAAGGAGGACCAUACAAUGGGAUGAACGAGUGGGAGUGAGAACUGCUAAGUAUGAUGUCUGCACG